GCAAAAACAUCGUUUAAAAUUAUUUUAAAUAUAAUCUGCCCACUGAUUUAUUUUAAAUGGCCGCAGUAUCCUGACUGUGCUAAGGUAGCAUAAUCAUUAGUUUUUUAAUUAAAAACUCGUAUGAAUGAUCUGACGAUAGAUAAACUGUCUUUAUUCUAUUCAAUAAAUUUACCUAUUAGGUUAAAAGGCCUAAAAAAUUUAGAAUGACGAUAAGACCCUAUAAAACUUUAUUUUAAAAUUAAGAAAAAUUAAGAAUUUAUAUAAAUUAAAUAAAAAUUUUGCUGGGGCGGCUAUUAAUUUAACGUUAAUUAAUUUAAACAUUUUGAAUGAUCUUAUAAACCUAAAUUAAAAAUUAAUAAUAAGUUACUUUAGGGAUAACAGCGCAAUACUACUUUAGAGCUCUUAUCGACAGUAGAGUUUGCGACCUCGAUGUUGAAUUGAAAAUCCUUUUUAAAGCAACAUUUAAAAAAGUAAGUCUGUUCGAC
This 485-nucleotide ribosomal RNA is filed under the name Caecosphaeroma burgundum. RNAcentral's name for it is "partial 16S ribosomal RNA". It matches the Rfam family "Archaeal large subunit ribosomal RNA", at positions 1899 to 2654 of the family's 2987-position model. Lineage: Eukaryota; Metazoa; Arthropoda; Malacostraca; Isopoda; Sphaeromatidae. The record is from RNAcentral.